RNAcentral lists this ribosomal RNA (472 nucleotides) under uncultured bacterium. Its description in RNAcentral is "bacterial SSU rRNA". It matches the Rfam family "Bacterial small subunit ribosomal RNA", at positions 289 to 776 of the family's 1533-position model. The record is from RNAcentral.
GGUCUGAGAGGACGAUCAGCCACACGGGAACUGAGACACGGUCCCGACUCCUACGGGGGGCAGCAGUGAGGAAUAUUGCCCAAUGGGGGAAACCCUGAGGCAGCAACGCCGCGUGGAGGAAGAAGGUCUUUACGAUCGUAAACUUCUUUUGUGAGGGAAGAGGAAGGACGGUACCUCAUGAAUAAGUCACGGCUAACUACGUGCCAGCAGCCGCGGUAAUACGUAGGUGACGAGCGUUAUCCGGAAUUACUGGGCGUAAAGCGUACGCAGGCGGCAUGGUAAGUCUGACGUGAAAUCUCCUGGCUUAACUGGGAGAGGUCGUUGGAGACUGCUGUGCUUGAGACAAUGAGAGGGGUGCAGAAUUCCCGGUGUAGUGGUGGAAUGCGUAGAUAUCGGGAGGAAUACCAGAGGCGAAAGCGGCACCCUGGCAUUGGUCUGACGCUCAUGUACGAAAGCGUGGGUAGCAAACGGG